RNAcentral lists this long non-coding RNA (2200 nucleotides) under Homo sapiens (human). Its description in RNAcentral is "non-protein coding lnc-CPSF7-4:1". The record is from RNAcentral. Lineage: Eukaryota; Metazoa; Chordata; Mammalia; Primates; Hominidae.
GUGGGAGUGGGAGCAGGGCACCACCUCUGGGAACCCCAUUCUCUUCCUGCGCAGCCAAAGGGGGGCCUUAAGGACAAGGGGGGAGCACUGUGGCUGUGGGCACUGGGUGGGUAGAGGCUUCAUGCCCCACUCCUCUGGAGGAAGAAAAGGGGCAGAUACCCCUGGGAAAAGGUUUUGGGGUCUUGUGAGAGACCUGCGGGAAAGACCUGAGAGUCCCAGAACCCAACAUGCCUCCUUCAAGAAAGGCAAACUGAGGACUUGGGAGCAUGCGGCUCCAUCCUGGGUGUUGAACUUCAGGCAGCUCCGACCCCUGGGGAGGAGCCAUAGUGGAGGCCAGCUCUGCUCCCUGUGCGAGUGUGUGUGCAUGUGUGCAAGUGUGUGCAUGACCCGAUCCCCCUCUGCCUGCAGAUGUGUGGAACCGGGCUGGCUGCCCUGCUUUGUUCCUGGGUCCCCUGUGUCUGCGUCUGUCUCAGAAUUUCAGGAAAGGUGGUGGAGGAGGCUGGGCCAUGUGCCUCUGUGUGUGAGUGUCCUCGGAGGCUGGGGGAGUGGCUGAGCGUACCUGCAGCCCGGAGCAUCUUGUUGCAGGGCCCCUUAGGCUGUCUUGCUGUCUGUCUGGAUUUGAAGGCUAGGGAAGAAGGCUGCAUGAGCAGGCGCUGAUGGCGACCUUGUGUGUGUGUUCCAUGUGGAGUCUGUGCUGAAUGUGUUGACUUUGAGGGUAUUGGUGCACUGUGUGUGUGUGUCUGUGUGUGUGUGUCUGUCUGUCUGUCUGUGCGUGUCCGUUCACCCCUCAGUGGUGGGAUGUGCAUCAACUCAUCAGAUCCCUGUGUGAGUCAAUGCUGGGGUCUGCCCCACCCUCCUGGCCUCCUCUGCAUAUGUGCUGCAGUGUGUGUGUGUGGGUGUGGGUGUGGGUGUGUGUGGUGAGAGAUGACUUCCAGGACCCAGGUACAACUGUAACUGGUCUCCACCCCACCCCCAUGCACCUCCAGUCAGGGGCAGGGCCUGGGGACAGGAGUUCAAAGACAACAGCUUUUGCAGCAGAUGGGGGGCUGUCAGCACAGGAAGGACCUUGGGAGCUGAGAGAUGCAGAAGCAGCCUCUUCCCUGGUCCCAGCCCCUCCCCACAAUCCCCAGCCAGGAACCCUCCCAGGGUCCAGACCGCAGGCUGUCCCUCUUGACUUGCUGUGGAUAGAAUGCUACUCUCCCCAGUCCCCCAAGCCCUGCCACCCCCUCCCCUCCGCCUCAGGGGUUCCAGAAGCCAGGGAGCUCGUUGAUCAGGCUGUCUCCUUGCUCCAUGGAAGGGACUUUAAAACGCUGUCCCCUCCCCCAACACACACAGUUGUUGGGCUCUCCUUGCCUGCCUGUCCCCUCAGCAGCAGUGACGUGAUACCCUGACAGCCCAGAUCCCAUUUCCAAACAUUAAUAACUUCCUUAAUCUCCAGCUGGCUUUUUCCGGAUCAGCCUGGCCACCCCUCCCUGAGAAGCAGGCUGGUGGUGUUGGGCUGCUUUGGAGCUGCCUAAUGUCACCUGGACCCUGCCUGGUUUCCUGUUAACUUGGGUUGUCCCCCUGCCCUCCACAUCAAGUCCUGGCCUGGUUCCUGUCCCCCAUAGCACCUCGGCUCCUGCUGCAGAGCAAUAGUCGAAGCCAGAGGGGAAGGUUCUCGGAGUUGGGGAAGGAGAAGGGGCAGACAGAGGCUCCCAGGAUGUCUGUGGGGGCGCUGCUCGGAAAGGGCUGACCGUGCCCUUCCUGGCCUCGGGGAAGGGGCAGCGGCCCUGCCUUACGAGAGGGUGCUGGCCAGGGCAAGCUCUCCUGCCAAGCCAGAAAGAAGGAAGAGAAGGGCGAGGGGUGGCAUGGGAUGCCCUCAGCAGCCCCACUCUUGACCCACACUGCCUGUGUGCUGGAGAAUAGUGGGGCGGGGCUCCUGCCUGAGGGUCCUGCCAAAGGGGGCCUGAGGUCACUGUGGCACAGCCGCAUAGGAUCUUCCCAGUUGGAACUGGGAAUUGUUUGAGAUUUGGACCUCUGGGUAGUGAUGGGAGGGAUCGGAGUUGGAGCUGUGAGUGGCAGCUUUUGUGAACCCAGGGUGUCCGGCAUCUCUAUAUUUCAACUCUUAAAGUUCUGACUUAGAGGUCGCUGCUGGGGGCCCAGACUCCAGGGUGGGCGGGGCCAUAGAAGGGACACUUCCAGGUGAUGAUUUCUGAGAACU